UAACACACCACUUACCCAGAAGGGUCACAGGAGUAACACCCUUGCCACAGCUGGUGCAAGUUCUGCACAGUGAAUACAAUAUUCUGAUUCUUGUAAUGCCUCUUUUCUCUUUGCUUUUUUUUUCUUUAAUGAUUAUUUCUGGAAUGAAUAUGAUUGCUAUUCUUUGAGUGCUGUCAGCAUUCUGCUGGAAAAUAGACACAUGUUCCCUCAAUAAGUGGUAGUUAGUAAUACAUCUCUGUGUUCAGACACUGUUUAUUCUGUAUUUUAUAUACAUUGCUAAUUUUAUCUUUGAAGUCUGAUGAAUGUUUCUCAUGGCAGUUUGGGUGCCACUGGAUAUCAAAGUAGCUCCUAUAUGAACAGGUUUUUAAUUCGUCGGUGAAAGACUGUUGACAAUGAACAGAAGAAUGACCUUUUUUUUUUUUUUUCCCAGACAGUUACAAGUAGGUGGAGAAGUUAUUGCAGAACUUUGGGAGAACUAAAGAUAACAGCCUGGCCUGUAAUUUUUACUUUUUCUCUUUUUUUUUUUUUUUUUUUUUUUUUAACACAGAUACUUUGUUGUCCCAUCUCCCAUCUUCUCACAGCGUUGUAAGUAUAAAGAACUCAGAAAUCACUUUGACCAUUGUUUUAAGUAUCCUGUAAACCUGAGAAAAUCUCAAUAGCCUGGCAACAAGCUGCCUUGUAGACAGCUUUCUAUACCAUGCUUCAAAUUUCACUUCAGGUGACUUUUUAGUAAAUAAUGUCAAAAAAACCAACAUUUGCUGAUAUUGUAAAAGUCUGCAAUAUUUCUUAGUAAAUUUAGUGUACAGCUACAUUUUUAUGAGCAUCAAAACAACUCAUUAGAAGGAAACAAUAAGAAGGAAGACAAAGCGUUUUCACUCAAGAACUUAAGAGAAAAAGAAACUAUUAAGUCAGCACUGCAUUUUAUAUGGCUGAAGGGAAUUAUUUAAAACUGGGAAAUUUAUACUCUGCCUCCAGUUUCUUUAUUGAUUAUUGGUUUUAUUUAGUAUUUAAACAGCAUCCUGCUCUUUAUAAAGUUUAUCUGGCUAUUAAUGCUUAUCUCUUAGACAUAUGCAGGACACUUUAAAGGAAAAUAUCAUUGAUGCAACUGUUUCCUCAAGGUGUAAAAUCUAGGUGAGAGAGAAAAUGAUUAGUCACAGUGACAGAGUGAACAUUUGAGAAUCACUUUUUUCUGUGCAUAUAAUUAAAAAAAUCAAUAAGAUGAAUAUAUGGAAGUCAAUAGUAUUUACUAUAGAAGAACAAGGGAAAACAGAACAGCCAUACUUUGCAUUACUAAGGUUUUGGUCUGUGAUCAGGUCCUCUUGUGGGAUGAAACUUUGAGGGCUAUAAUAAAGGUCACCUUUGCUGUGCAGUGUUUGUUCUCUUCAUAGCGCUUCAAGGAGAAUGACAGGUGGUUUAGUUCUAAAAUCCCAAAUUUACCCUCUCAAAUUGUAUUCAGCAUAUUCAUCCCAUGAUUUAUUUUCUAGCCUGGUUUUUGCAUCUCCAAACUGUGUUUAUUGUAUUUUGGAUGAUUUUGAGAAUAUAAUUUUCCUGUUCAGUAUUGUGUGUGACUUAUUGAUAAAUAUGAAAAAUAUAGGUCUAAAAUCUAUUAAGUCUUCAUCCUGUGCUGUUUAUGGAAGAUUAUAGUUCUGUAUUUCUCCCCAAAGGAGAGCCUAUUAGGUAAUGUGAUAUACCUGUGACUAGUGAUGUGCUUAAGUAAAACAGACAUAUUGCAAAGCUGAGGAGUUUAAAUAUACCCACUUACAUCUCUGUGUUUCUGUGACCACUACUUCCAGUGCACCCAGCUGGCCUCGUGCUCAGGGAAGCAGCAGGGCCUGCGUGUGAAAUGUGCCUGUGUGGGCACCUGCACAGCAUCUUCAGCCUGCACACACAUGCACACACAGUCUGAGCUGAUGUCUUGUUUUAGUAGCCCUGGAUGUAAUAUCCCUAAUACUAACACUGGCUAGUCCUAUCAAACAACUCUGCUAACAUUUUAGGCUGAUGUGUUAUUGAUAAUGCUUUUUUUGAGGUAAGUCCUUUGUUUGACACCAGAAUACAGACGCUGAUAUUUGCACUGUCACAGGUAAUGACAGUGCAUUGAAUGGUUGUGUGAAAAAACAGCUGAUGCACAUGGUAAGAGUAGAACACAGUCAAAGAGAAUCAGCAAAGCUGGGGUUUAAAUCUGGCUUAAAUGGUGAAGAUUGUUUCUGACCAAGAGUAAUCAAGGGUUUUCACAACACGGAUCUGUAAAAUUUCUCAGGAUUUUGAUGCUGUCUGACAAGAUCUUUUACCCUGUGGUAAAGUGGAUACAUGCAAUGAUACAACAUGCUGAGAUCUAUCGAUAUUCUCAUUAGUACACUAUGACUUCAAAGCUAUAUCCAUAACUACUACAGAUGCUGUAGGAAUAGGCUCAAGUUAAUUAAUAAAUCUUAUUUUUCUAUCAGAUUUAAUAUGUACAUAAACUGCUUCCUAUGUAAAUCCAGUUUUCAUCUCUCUUCAGAAUGUUAAUAUAAUGGGUUUGGGUUGUUGGUUUUCCCCCCAUCCUGCAGUAUUUGCUACAGCAAUUCUGGGAAGAAAGAUCUUUCAGGCUCUUUUCUGUCCCAAGUGAGGAGAUGAACAAGUGGAUUUUAAAGGCAUGAAGUGUUCAGCACUGCUAUCCUGAUAUACUGCUUCUGACCUUUUCAGGCAGAGGAUGGCUGAGACCUGAGUAUAUGGAUCCCCUGUUUGAAUAAAAGAGUGCUUCUGAGAAAAUCAGCAGAGUUUUGAGUGCUGACAUCCAAGGAGCUGCAGUGUCAGUGGAAGUUUUGGGCCUUGAUCUAGGCUUUGCUGAGGGGACUCAUACUACUGCAUAAUGGAUCAUUUUUACCCCAGGAUUCCAUAGAAAGAAAAUCAUUCCCUCUACAUCAGAGACUUCUCAGAACAGCAGAUCAAAAGGCACCUGUGUUUUUCAGGAUUACAGAAAACUGGGCUGGCUGGACUAAAGAAGUGUCCCAAAAUGUCACCUGGCCUGGAGUUGCACUGUCCCCUGACUUUCCAUGUUACUCUAUACCUUUGCAAAUAAGGACUAUCCUUUCCACUGCCUUCUAACUUCUCAGGUGAAGAAAACAAGCAUGUAUGCAAUAUUCAAGGUACAGGUAAACCAAGGGAUGAUGCAGUGACACUAGUGGUAAUUUCUGACAAGCUCUUUGAUUCUGUUUUAACAAUUCAUAAUCAUCAUCAUCAUCAUCAUCGUCCCGUUUUUAAAGAUAAACUUUUUAUUUUCUGCCCACGAAAGCAUUAAGAUAUCUUUUCUGAGUACUGGCUAAUUUAGAUGCCAUUGGUGUAUCCAUGUGGUUUAAAUUGGUUUUCUUCUAGAUACAUCACUUUGAAUUUUUUAAUGCUGAAUUUUAUCUGCCACUCUUAUCUUUCAGUCACUCUGUAUCAUAAAAUCCUUUUGAGCCUUUUGUAGAUAUUGUCUUUAGUACCUUGAAUAAUUUGAUCACAUCAGUAAAUUUCAUCCUGUCACUGCAGAGGCUCUUUUUGCAUCAUUAAUAAAUAACUUGAGGCACACCAGUUCUCUUGUAGAUACUUGUAGAUCUCCACAGCUAACCCCCUCCAACCAUGGUGAAAAGUGAUUUUCAUUUUCAGUUAGAUAUUAUUUUGAGUAUUUUUCCUUUUAACAUAGGAGAAUUUAUGGUUCUCCUAUGGUAAAAGGAUAUUUUUAGAUAUUGAUGUAUCUCAAAAAAUUACUGAAAUUCCUGCCUGGAAUCACACUUAGGUUUGGUUCUGCUGAGAGCACAGAUGAUCCUUAAAUGCAUAUUUAGGACCCUGCAGACAGUUUGUUCUACACUGCCUAGAUGCAUGUUUGUGUUCAUGUGUUCAACACCCGGAACUUAUUAUGUGAUAAGUAUAACUAUUGUACCACAGGCUGGAGACACAUAUUUUAGGUGAAACCUGACAAUGGUACUUUGUGAAAUCUAUCUGCCCUUAUUGAGAGCAGUAUACUGGAGGUUACAGAUUAUUUUAGACAUGAUAAAGAUGAAACAAAAAGUAAAAAAGUCACAAAAUGAAUAUCACUGUUCAUUUUACAGCCUUUUUUUGAUACUUGAAAAUGUCCUCUCUGAAUGUGGCAUAUCCAGUCCAGCCCUGUUGACCCAACACACCUGAGGAAAUAACAAACACAAACUACCCAUGACUUUUCUCAGUUCACUUGAAGCACAACAGUGUAAUCCUAAAAGGCAGCAUUAACCAAGAAACACAGGACAGCUCUGAGCUCAGGAAACAUACGAAAUCAUUCUUCCAAAAACUACAUCUAGUACUGUCUAAGUCUCUUUGCAAUUAUUUUAUUUAAAAUUGCAUCAUAUCUUUUAGUAACUGUUACUUUUAGGUGAAUCUCAUUCUGUCGUAGCAAAAGGAUGCAGUUGAUAGGGAUGCAUAAAAAUUGUUGAAAUCAGAUGUAUUUAUUCAGAAUAUAUACUCAUGCACACUCAGAUAUUCUGCUGGCAUAUGUUUAUGCUAGCAGAAAUAAAAUGAACUACAAAUGUUUCCAAAGCACAGAAAUUUUAAGUGAUAAAAUGCAAUGUGACUGUAAUUUGGUAAUAAAUAACUCUAAUAUCACUAUAAAAUAUAAGAAGUAAAACUAUCAAAUAGCCUGUAGAGUUUAUCUAUAAAACAGAAAACUGAGUAUAUUGUCUUAUUUAUUCUCAUCUUCUAACCUGUCAGGAGAGCAUGAUGGCCUUUCAAAGAUGUAGUUCUUGAAUAAGAGUCAAUAUAAACCAAACUGUGUGGGAUUAUAUAUUUUUAGCUAAAUGGAUGCAAUAUGAUACAGAUCAUUAACUCUAACCACCUCAUCCAUUCAUCUUUACAACAUACAUAUUGAGGUUGCUGGAUGAGAAAUGCUAUUGAAGGCACAGACCAUUUUUAAAGAAGAGUCAAAUAAGUAAAAAAUAUUAAGUCCCUGUGAAUUUGCAUGAUUUUUUUUAGUUUAAAUAACAUUUGCUACAUAAACCCCUUCCCACAAAUGUUUACUAUAUAUCACCCCGAAAUACAAAAUGGGGAUUCAUUUACUUUGAAAUGAUGAAAAAACCAGAGUGGAGUGUUGUUUUAUUUUACUGGUGUGUUAUAUAUUACAUUGUUCUUUUUUAUCCUCCCACAAAGAUGACUCCUGUAAUACAAGGAAACAGUUUUCUAGAUGUAACUAUCUUCACCUAAUCAUGUUAAGUUACAGUGUGUCAUUUCUGUUACCUACAAUUCAUAUUUAGAUAAAUCUCACAACCUUCCAAGACAAGGAAAGCCCAUAUUUAUAGGCUAUGAGGCCAUAUUUCUAUUUCACAGAUAAAAAUUUAUUUGGUAGCAGAAAACAUCCCAGCACUUUAAAAUAUAGAUUUGCAAUGUGGUAUAUUGUUAAAAUUUAGUGCAGCUUUUACAUAUAAGUACUUCAUGGCUGUAUUUUAUAAUGAAAAGAAGAAUCUACAUUUACACAUUACCCUGUGGACUUUAUACUCACUGUACCAAUUUAUUCAGAUUUCUUGUCUAGACUGUAAAAGCAUUUUUUCCUCUCUGACUAAGGUUAAAUAAAUGAAAGCUUAGAUUUUACUAUUAAGGUCAAAGAAAUAAUACAAAAUUUGACUUAAUGAAAACCAUGAGAAAAGCUGUAAGUUAUGUUCUUUUUACUAAUAAACCACUACGAUGCAGUUGCACAAAGAGAUCACAGUCAAAAUAUGAUUCAUGGAGAAAAAAUAGCAGCUGUUAUGUCGGGAGUUUAUUGGAAAACUAACAGCUGGAUUUGAAAUCAAUGUUAUUAUUAUAUCUUUUGAUUGAGGUUACAUUAUAAGGAUCAUUUCCAGCAAUGGAACUGACAGUUCCCCAGCACUACUGCAGAGAACAACAAUUGAUCCAAAAUACGUACAAUUAUUGGCUUUCCAAUUGUUCCCAAUAAAAUACUCCUUAUAACCAGGUGGAGAUUUCCUUUGAAACCCUUUGAAUACUAACAGUUAUUGUCUACAGUUAUUUUUGGCUGCAUGCUUUGUAGUGCAAGCAUUGGUAUAACUGCUUCAAAUAUCAACGGUGUCUGUGAAUGCUAGUUGAACGUUAAUGAUUCAUAAUAAAUUAAAUUUGUUUCUGUAA
This is a non-coding RNA of Taeniopygia guttata (zebra finch), 6102 nucleotides long. The record is from RefSeq and is a predicted model, not a curated record. NCBI's taxonomy places the organism in Eukaryota, Metazoa, Chordata, Aves, Passeriformes, Estrildidae.